Molecule: ribosomal RNA, 453 nt
Filed under: uncultured bacterium
Lineage: Bacteria
Description: bacterial SSU rRNA
Rfam family: Bacterial small subunit ribosomal RNA
Source: RNAcentral
AUGAACGCUAGCGGCGCGCCUUAUGCAUGCAAGUCGUACGGUUCCUCGCAAGAGGGACAGUGGCGAACGGGUGAGUAAUAGUUAGGUAACCUGCCUUUAAGUGGGGGAUAACACUUCGAAAGAAGUGCUAAUACCGCAUGUGGUGCUCUUUCAUAAGAAGGAUCACUAAAACCGCAAGGUGCUUGAAGAGGGGCCUGACUCCGAUUAGCUAGUUGGUGGGGUAACGGCCUACCAAGGCUAUGAUCGGUAGCUGGUCUGAGAGGAUGGUCAGCCACACUGGGACUGAGACACGGCCCAGACUCCUACGGGAGGCAGCAGCAAGGAAUCUUGGGCAAUGGGCGAAAGCCUGACCCAGCGACGCCGCGUGAGGGAUGAAGGCCUUCGGGUUGUAAACCUCUUUUCUCAGGGAAGAAUAAUGACGGUACCUGAGGAAUAAGUCUCGGCUAACUACGU